This 425-nucleotide ribosomal RNA is filed under the name uncultured bacterium. RNAcentral's name for it is "bacterial SSU rRNA". It matches the Rfam family "Bacterial small subunit ribosomal RNA", at positions 354 to 796 of the family's 1533-position model. The record is from RNAcentral.
GUGGGGAAUCUUGCGCAAUGGGCGAAAGCCUGACGCAGCCAUGCCGCGUGAAUGAUGAAGGUCUUAGGAUUGUAAAAUUCUUUCACCGGGGACGAUAAUGACGGUACCCGGAGAAGAAGCUCCGGCUAACUUCGUGCCAGCAGCCGCGGUAAUACGAAGGGGGCUAGCGUUGCUCGGAAUUACUGGGCGUAAAGGGCGCGUAGGCGGACAGCUUAGUCAGAGGUGAAAGCCCAGGGCUCAACCUUGGAAUUGCCUUUGAUACUGGCUGUCUUGAGUUUGGGAGAGGUGAGUGGAACUCCGAGUGUAGAGGUGAAAUUCGUAGAUAUUCGGAAGAACACCAGUGGCGAAGGCGACCCACUGGCCCAAUACUGACGCUGAGGCGCGAAAGCGUGGGGAGCAAACAGGAUUAGAUACCCCAGUAGUCC